UUUCUCUCUCUCUCUGUCCACAGGAUAUUCCUUUGUAAUCCCGCUACCCUCAACGCUCCCAAUCCAUGGAUCAAGAAAUGCUGAACCAGUGGAUAUUCCUUUGUAAUCCCGCUACCCUCAACGCUCCCAAUCCAUGGAUCAAGAAAUGCUGAACCAGUGGAUAUUCCUUUGUAAUCCCGCUACCCUCAACGCUCCCAAUCCAUGGAUCAAGAAAUGCUGAACCAGUGGAUAUUCCUUUGUAAUCCCGCUACCCUCAACGCUCCCAAUCCAUGGAUCAAGAAAUGCUGAACCAGUGGAUAUUCCUUUGUAAUCCCGCUACCCUCAACGCUCCCAAUCCAUGGAUCAAGAAAUGCUGAACCAGUGGUGUGUGUAAAUCUUUCUUGUGGUUCACAUUAUAUCUGUGUUGUGUGAUGCGGGUCAUCAAUGUGUUGGAAGUUUCCCCGACAUACUGCAGUCCACACUUCUUGCACAAUAUGAGAUAGACACAGUUGGUUGAUUUGGGACUAAAUCCUUGUUCAAUUUUAAUGAUUGUUUUAUCCACUGCA
Long non-coding RNA from Phyllopteryx taeniolatus (common seadragon), 545 nucleotides. RefSeq lists it as uncharacterized. NCBI's taxonomy places the organism in Eukaryota, Metazoa, Chordata, Actinopteri, Syngnathiformes, Syngnathidae. The record is from RefSeq and is a predicted model, not a curated record. The transcript is spliced from 5 exons.